ACGGGAGGCGCAGUGGGGAAUAUUGGGCAAUGGGCGCAAGCCUGACCCAGCAAUGCCGCGUGAAGGAAGAAGGCUUUCGGGUUGUAAACUUCUUUUAAGUGGGACGAUAAUGACGGUACCACUUGAAUAAGCUCCGGCUAACUACGUGCCAGCAGCCGCGGUAAUACGUAGGGAGCAAGCGUUAUCCGGAUUUACUGGGUGUAAAGGGCGUGUAGGCGGGACAGCAAGUCAGAUGUGAAAGCACGAGGCUCAACUUCGUGUCUGCAUUUGAAACUGCUGUUCUUGAGUGCUGGAGAGGCUAACGGAACUCCUAGUGUAGCGGUGAAAUGCGUAGAUAUUAGGAAGAACACCAGUGGCGAAGGCGGUUAGCUGGACAGUAACUGACGCUGAGGCGCGAAAGCGUGGGUAGCAAACAGGAUUAGAUACCCUGGUA
This is a ribosomal RNA of 433 nucleotides. It matches the Rfam family "Bacterial small subunit ribosomal RNA", at positions 341 to 792 of the family's 1533-position model.